GGCAGAUUAAUGAUGAAACAAUUACCCCAAGCGCUUUAUUCCACUGAUUUCAGUGUGAUGGAAAGCUAUGUUAUCAUAGCUUUUGUGGUUUUCAAUCUGAAACAUCU
This is a small nucleolar RNA of Setaria italica (foxtail millet), 107 nucleotides long. It matches the Rfam family "Small nucleolar RNA Z194". Rfam says of the family: Z194 is a member of the C/D class of snoRNA which contain the C (UGAUGA) and D (CUGA) box motifs. Most of the members of the box C/D family function in directing site-specific 2'-O-methylation of substrate RNAs. The record is from Rfam. NCBI's taxonomy places the organism in Eukaryota, Viridiplantae, Streptophyta, Magnoliopsida, Poales, Poaceae.